ACGGGGGGGGUAAGCGUUGUUCGGAAUUACUGGGCGUAAAGAGCGUGUAGGCGGCCAGAUAAGUCCGCUGUGAAAACUCGAGGCUCAACUUCGAGCUGUCGGUGGAAACUGUCUGGCUAGAGUCCGGAAGAGGAGAGUGGAAUUCCUGGUGUAGCGGUGAAAUGCGCAGAUAUCAGGAAGAACACCCGUGGCGAAGGCGGCUCUCUGGGACGGUACUGACGCUGAGACGCGAAAGCGUGGGGAGCGAACAGGA
RNAcentral lists this ribosomal RNA (253 nucleotides) under uncultured prokaryote. Its description in RNAcentral is "partial 16S ribosomal RNA". It matches the Rfam family "Bacterial small subunit ribosomal RNA", at positions 525 to 777 of the family's 1533-position model. The record is from RNAcentral.